UACGUAGGGGGCAAGCGUUAUCCGGAUUUACUGGGUGUAAAGGGAGAGUAGGUGGCAAAGUAAGUCAGAUGUGAAAGCCCGUGGCUUAACUGCGGGAUUGCAUCAGAAACUGCUUUGCUAGAGUGCAGGAGAGGUAAGUGGAAUUCCUAGUGUAGCGGUGAAAUGCGUAGAUAUUAGGAGGAACACCAGUGGCGAAGGCGGCUUACUGGACUGUAACUGACGUUGAGGCUCGAAAGCGUGGGGAGCAAACAGGAUUAGAUACCCUGGUA
RNAcentral lists this ribosomal RNA (269 nucleotides) under uncultured prokaryote. RNAcentral's name for it is "partial 16S ribosomal RNA". It matches the Rfam family "Bacterial small subunit ribosomal RNA", at positions 524 to 792 of the family's 1533-position model. The record is from RNAcentral.